UGGGGAAUCUUGCACAAUGGGGGCAACCCUGAUGCAGCGACGCCGCGUGAGCGAUGAAGCCCUUCGGGGCGUAAAGCUCUUUCGACCGGAACGAUAAUGACGGUACCGGGAGAAGAAGCUGCGGCUAACUACGUGCCAGCAGCCGCGGUAAUACGUAGGCAGCAAGCGUUGUUCGGAGUUACUGGGCGUAAAGAGUGCGUAGGCGGUUUUCUAAGUUCGGUGUGAAAUCUCCCGGCUUAACUGGGAGGGUGCGCCGAAGACUGGGAAGCUGGAGUGUGGGAAAGGCAGGCGGAAUUCCUGGUGUAGCGGUGAAAUGCGUAGAUAUCAGGAGGAACACCGGAGGUGUAGACGGCUUGCUAGACCAUAACUGACGCUGAGGCACGAAAGCGUGGGUAGCAAACA
RNAcentral lists this ribosomal RNA (402 nucleotides) under uncultured bacterium. RNAcentral describes it as "bacterial SSU rRNA". It matches the Rfam family "Bacterial small subunit ribosomal RNA", at positions 355 to 774 of the family's 1533-position model. The record is from RNAcentral.